GAUGAACGCUGGCGGCGUGCCUAAUACAUGCAAGUCAAGCGAACAGACGAGGAGCUUGCUCCUCUGACGUUAGCGGCGGACGGGUGAGUAACACGUGGAUAACCUACCUAUAAGACUGGGAUAACUUCGGGAAACCGGAGCUAAUACCGGAUAAUAUAUUGAACCGCAUGGUUCAAUAGUGAAAGACGGUUUUGCUGUCACUUAUAGAUGGAUCUGCGCCGCAUUAGCUAGUUGGUAAGGUAACGGCUUACCAAGGCGACGAUGCGUAGCCGACCCGAGAGGGUGAUCGGCCACACUGGAACUGAGACACGGUCCAGACUCCUACGGGAGGCAGCAGUAGGGAAUCUUCCGCAAUGGGCGAAAGCCUGACGGAGCAACGCCGCGUGAGUGAUGAAGGUCUUCGGAUCGUAAAACUCUGUUAUUAGGGAAGAACAAAUGUGUAAGUAACUAUGCACGUCUUGACGGUACCUAAUCAGAAAGCCACGGCUAACUACGUG
Molecule: ribosomal RNA, 497 nt
Filed under: uncultured bacterium
Lineage: Bacteria
Description: partial 16S ribosomal RNA
Rfam family: Bacterial small subunit ribosomal RNA
Source: RNAcentral